UUAUACAAGGCAUAAAAGGGAAUCAGGUGAAACACCUGAGCAGUGCCCGCUACUGUAAACUCCGUUAGUUCGGAAUGUCAUUUUCUACUAAGCCACUAUGGUCAUAAUCCUUGGGAAGGUGAGACAUUUCGGGAGCAAGCCAGGAAACCUGCCGUCAGAGUUU
Molecule: non-coding RNA, 163 nt
Filed under: Prevotella koreensis
Lineage: Bacteria; Pseudomonadati; Bacteroidota; Bacteroidia; Bacteroidales; Prevotellaceae
Source: RNAcentral